Molecule: ribosomal RNA, 450 nt
Filed under: uncultured bacterium
Lineage: Bacteria
Description: partial 16S ribosomal RNA
Rfam family: Bacterial small subunit ribosomal RNA
Source: RNAcentral
GUGGGGAAUAUUGGACAAUGGGCGAAAGCCUGAUCCAGCCAUGCCGCGUGUGUGAAGAAGGUCUUCGGAUUGUAAAGCACUUUAAGUUGGGAGGAAGGGCAGUAAGUUAAUACCUUGCUGUUUUGACGUUACCGACAGAAUAAGCACCGGCUAACUUCGUGCCAGCAGCCGCGGUAAUACGAAGGGUGCAAGCGUUAAUCGGCAUUACUGGGCGUAAAGCGCGCGUAGGUGGUUUUGUAAGUUGGAGGUGAAAUCCCCGGGCUCAACCUGGGAACUGCCUCCAAAACUGGAUGACUAGAGUACGGUAGAGGGUAGUGGAAUUUCCUGUGUAGCGGUGAAAUGCGUAGAUAUAGGAAGGAACACCAGUGGCGAAGGCGACUACCUGGACUGAUACUGACACUGAGGUGCGAAAGCGUGGGGAGCAAACAGGAUUAGAAACCCGAGUAGUCC